RNAcentral lists this ribosomal RNA (251 nucleotides) under uncultured bacterium. Its description in RNAcentral is "partial 16S ribosomal RNA". It matches the Rfam family "Bacterial small subunit ribosomal RNA", at positions 524 to 776 of the family's 1533-position model. The record is from RNAcentral.
UACAUGGGGUGCAAACGUUGCUCGGAAUUAUUGGGCGUAAAGCGCACGUAGGCGGUUCGUUAAGUCGGAUGUGAAAGCCCUCGGCUCAACUGAGGAAGUGCACCCGAAACUGGCGAGCUUGAGUACGAAAGAGGAUCGCGGAAUUCCCGGUGUAGAGGUGAAAUUCGUAGAUAUCGGGAGGAACACCGGCGGCGAAGGCGGCGAUCUGGGUCGAUACUGACGCUGAGGUGCGAAAGCGUGGGAGCAACAGG